Bombus terrestris (buff-tailed bumblebee) is the source of this 1362-nucleotide long non-coding RNA. RefSeq lists it as uncharacterized. The transcript is spliced from 3 exons. The record is from RefSeq and is a predicted model, not a curated record. NCBI's taxonomy places the organism in Eukaryota, Metazoa, Arthropoda, Insecta, Hymenoptera, Apidae.
ACAAAUCAGCUUAUCUUUUUUUUAAUAAUUUGCUUACAUCAUUCCGAAACGAAAUAAGGCUUUUUAUUAAACGUGCAAAAUCAUCUCGCUACUUAACUCAGGAGCAAUGUCAUCAAUCAACACGCUCGUUUGCAUUUUGUGUUCAUGUAUGUAUAUAUAUACUUGUUGUACACAUAUACAGCCAUCUUAGUUCUGGUGACAGAUCACGCAUAAAGACUCGACGUUAUCAUCGUGACAUGAUUAGCAGUAUUGACUUCUGAGUUGACUAGUGAGAGAAUGAAUACUUUGUGACUAAAUGUAUUAUAAGGAUUAAGCACACUUGUCAUACACUUGUUUAUAGCAUGUGAUUAUAUUAUUAUCGAACAUCUAAUAAGCAUUCUCCAAUUGCAUGCCACCUUCGGUAUAGACACGACGUAGUAUUCUAAAUGUUCUAAUUCGUUCAUUAAGUUCGGAUGCGUAAAAGCAAAUAAACAUUGGACCACUAUAUAGUUCUGCAUUUAUCUAACUUCAAAGUUCUUCGAUUAUGUUAAUGUGUGUUUUGUAAACGGCUGAUUAUAAAUAUCCUGACAAGUAUGUAAAUCGUUAACAUCGACAUAAAUAAUUGUCACACUGGCAAGUUGACAAGUAUAUACACAAUUAUUAUAAACAGGAAAUGUGAUUACUAUUUCAGCCAGAAAGUAUCACCGAAUUACAUUAUUAGAUAAAAAAAUCAUGGAGGUUAACACCAAAUAUCUUAUACAUAUAUUUAUAAUAAAUUAAUGGAAAAAUGGAUUUAUCGUUUAAUAAAAUAAUGAUAUUAAAAAAAAUUUUGAAGGGGAAGUAUAAAUAAUAUUUCAUGAAUGUUUCAUGGUUUCCAAAAGUCUACAAAUUUGCCUCUAUUAAAGAACGCUGUCAAUCAUUGUUCAAAAAAUAUCAAAACCGACCGAGUUCUAUGUAUAUACAAUUUAACAAUCAAUGUCUGAAAAAUCUGUAAGACAUUUUCAAAGCAUUAAAAAGGCUAUCAUAAUUACAAGAAUAUGGUUCUUAAAUUAUAACAGGUUGGUUACAAUUGGUUACAAUAUUAUAAUAAAAUUAUCAAAUUUAAUUCAUCUUCCUAAUACGUCUUUUUAAUGCUCCAAAAACUACUUAUCAAGACUUACGAUCAAAUGGGGUUUCAGAUCCAAGAAAAACUUAAAAACAAAUAGUUUUAUCGAUUACUUAUGAAGCGGAAACUCGUCAAAGACUGAUUGGUCCGAGCAGGGUAUGUAAAUGGUACCCUGUCUUUCAAGAAAAUUUUAAAUAAGGAGAAACUCGGUCGAAUAAUCAAUCUUACAAUAUUAUGCUCUUUACUGACUAUGAACAAAAUUAUACGCUUUCAUCUAA